RNAcentral lists this ribosomal RNA (497 nucleotides) under uncultured bacterium. RNAcentral's name for it is "partial 16S ribosomal RNA". It matches the Rfam family "Bacterial small subunit ribosomal RNA", at positions 28 to 507 of the family's 1533-position model. The record is from RNAcentral.
GAUGAACGCUGGCGGCGUGCCUAAUACAUGCAAGUCGAGCGAACAGACCAGGAGCUUGUUCCUCUGACGUUAGCGGCGGACGGGUGAGUAACACGUGGAUCACCUACUUAUAUGACUGGGAUAAUUUCGGGAAACCGGAGCUACUACUGGAUAAUAUAUUGUACCGCUUGGUGCAAUAGUGAAUGACGGCUUUGCUGUCUCUUAUAGCUGGAUCCGCGCUGCAUUAGUUAGUUGGUAAGGUAACGGCUUACCAAGGCGACGAUGCGUAGCCGACCUGAGAGGGGGAUCGGCCACACUGGAACUGAGACACGGUCCAGACUCCUACGGGAGGCAGCAGUAGGGAAUCUUAGGCAAAGGGCGAAAGCCUGACGGAGCAAUGCCGCGUGAGUGAUGAAGGCCUUCGGAUCGUAAAGCUCUGUUGUUGGGGAAGAAAAGAUGUGGAAGUAACUAUGCACGUCUUGACGGUACCGAAUGAGAAAGCAACGGCUAACUACGUG